RNAcentral lists this unclassified non-coding RNA (160 nucleotides) under uncultured Myrothecium. RNAcentral's name for it is "sequence contains ITS1". Lineage: Eukaryota; Fungi; Ascomycota; Sordariomycetes; Hypocreales. The record is from RNAcentral.
CCGAGUUUACAAACUCCCAAACCCUUUGUGAACCAUACCUAUCGUUGCUUCGGCGGGACCGCCCCGGCGCCCUCGGGCCCGGAACCAGGCGCCCGCCGGAGGCCCCAAACUCUAUGUUUUUAGUGGUUUCCUCCUCUGAGUGACAUAAACAAAUAAAUAA